GGCAAUUCCUGGGGGAGCCUGUAUGGGCUGAGAUUCCGCGUCGUCGCGGUAACCCUUUGAACCUGAUCCGGGUAAUGCCGGCGAAGGGAAGGACAUCGCGCGGCUC
Molecule: non-coding RNA, 106 nt
Filed under: Achromobacter piechaudii
Lineage: Bacteria; Pseudomonadati; Pseudomonadota; Betaproteobacteria; Burkholderiales; Alcaligenaceae
Description: TPP sequence
Rfam family: TPP riboswitch aptamer (THI element)
About the family: Vitamin B(1) in its active form thiamin pyrophosphate (TPP) is an essential coenzyme that is synthesised by coupling of pyrimidine and thiazole moieties in bacteria. The previously detected thiamin-regulatory element, thi box was extended, resulting in a new, highly conserved RNA secondary structure, the THI element, which is widely distributed in eubacteria and also occurs in some archaea. Analysis of operon structures identified a large number of new candidate thiamin-regulated genes, mostly transporters, in various prokaryotic organisms.
Source: RNAcentral